Molecule: unclassified non-coding RNA, 583 nt
Filed under: Hevea brasiliensis (rubber tree)
Lineage: Eukaryota; Viridiplantae; Streptophyta; Magnoliopsida; Malpighiales; Euphorbiaceae
Source: RNAcentral
AAGUGGAGUAAAAUCAGUGUUGGACAAGGAAGAAGAAUUGAUUAUAGAGGACAUUAAGGAAAGAGUCGAUAAGGAAACGGCAAAAGUUAUGAGGAAAAAAAAAUGAGAUUGCUAAAGCUUCAAAGAUAUGAUGCCAAUUAUCGCUUUCUGUUCGAUUGCAUAGCUGAUUUAUUUGGCGGAUUUGUUAAAUCCGAUAAUCAAGGGGGAUUUACUGCUUGAAAAGACGGGAGUUUGUGAGGAAAAUGGAACGGGGUGGACAUACUGAUUUAUAGAAAGGAUUUUGGAUACAGUAGUUACUGAUAAGUUGAGUGAGGAUCAAUUGAUAAAGAGAGCAUUUUCUAUGGUGAUAUGGAGUUUGAUGACGCUGCUGGAAACUUUAGAAGGUGCUAUGAGGAGAUGGUUCAACAAAGUGAAGGAGAAACAGAUGAAGAGAUGGAUCAACAAAGUGAAAGAAGAAAUUAUUGAAAUGAUAGCUCCAAAGUGAAUACGACAUUACAGAGACGCUUCGUCAAAUUGAAGAAGAACGCAAAAAAGCGGAUUCAAAAUAUGUGGGAAACGGAUUACCAGGUUAUAGAGAGAAAUU